UCUAAGCGUGAAGCCCCCCUCAAGAUGAGAUUUCCCAAUUAGUAAGACCCCUUGAAGACGACGAGGUAGAUAGGUUGGGGGUGGAAGUGCAGUAAUGCAUGGAGCUGACCAAUACUAAUCGGUCGAGGGCUUAUCCUAA
RNAcentral lists this ribosomal RNA (139 nucleotides) under Paenibacillus jamilae. RNAcentral describes it as "partial 23S ribosomal RNA". It matches the Rfam family "Bacterial large subunit ribosomal RNA", at positions 2780 to 2925 of the family's 2925-position model. The record is from RNAcentral. Lineage: Bacteria; Bacillati; Bacillota; Bacilli; Caryophanales; Paenibacillaceae.